Molecule: long non-coding RNA, 716 nt
Filed under: Olea europaea subsp. europaea
Lineage: Eukaryota; Viridiplantae; Streptophyta; Magnoliopsida; Lamiales; Oleaceae
Source: RNAcentral
CAGGAUUCAUCACUACUUUAGCGACUAGACCAGUUUCUCGGGAUUCAGACUGUUUCAUUUCUUGAUGUUAGCAAUGUAUAGUAGUCAAAUAGGAUUAUUUUCUUGUUGUGAUUUUUUACCUUUUUCCUCAUGUGGGAGUUAGAAUUAGUUCCCGUUUAUCUACUUCUAUCAAUGUGGGGAGGCAAAAAAGCCUGUACUCAGCUACCAAAUUUAUUUUGUACACAAAGAGGAGGGGUUCUGUUUUUCUUGUAAUGGGAGUUCUAGGUUUCUGUUUAUAUGGUUCUAAUGAACCAAUAUUAAAUUUAGAAAUAUUAGCCAAUCAGUCCUAUCUUGUCACCUUGGAAAUAAUAUUUUAUAUUGGAAUUUUUAUUGCUUGUUAUAUCAAAUUGCUAAUUAUAUCCCUACAUACAUGGUUACUAGAUACCCAUGGAGAAGUGCAUUAUAGUAAUUGUAUGCUUCUAGCCAGAAUCUUAUUAAAAAUGGGAGCGUAUGGAUUAGAUCAGAUAAAUAUGGAAUUAUUACCUCAUGCUCAUUCUAUAUUUUCUCCUUGGUUGAUAAUUGUAGGCGCAAUGCAAAUAAUUUAUGCAGCUUCAACAUCUCUCCAUCGACGGAAUUAAAAAAAAAAAAGAAUAAUAGCCUAUUCCUCUGUAUCUCAUAUGGGUUUCAUAAUUAUAGGAAUUGGUUCUAUCAUUGAUACAAGUAGGGGUGGGCGCGGG